AAAAAGUUUGGUGGUGGUGAUUGUCUAGCAAACAGAUAAGGCGGCGGAGGCGUUGCUGCUAUGGCAAAACGGCAACGACGACGACUCUUGUCGGAAUUGAGAGAAAGGGAAGAGGAGAAAAUUGGGUUAGGGCUCGCCCCUUUUCUGGAAGAAAGGGGACCGAUAAGAUUAGUAGUGGUAGUGAUGGCCAACUGCGGAACUCAUCAGAGAUGGAGAGGAGGCGGCCAGAGCGACAUCAGCCGCCCUUUGCUGGCUGUUUGCUCGCCGCAAACCGAGGGAAAAAUAGAGAGGAGGAUGGAAACUAGGGUUUCUUUCGCUUUUUAGAGGGUAAUUUGGGGGUUGUCGACUGAAGUCGCCGGAAAUGUACAUGCAGCGAUUGUGAAGAGGAAGAAGAAGAAGAAGGGUAGAAAAGAAAUAGGAGAAAUUAAGUGAGACGAAGCCAUGUAAGAUUAGAUUAGUUUUUUGUUUUGUUUUGUUUUUUUUUGUUUUUUUUUUCCAGCACAAAAAUGUCACGUAAGUCGCCGGAUACUUCUAUGCACUUAUCCGACGAUAGGACAUAUACUAAUUAAUGCAUUGGGACAUAAAAUGAUAUUUAUCCAAAAAAU
Molecule: long non-coding RNA, 605 nt
Filed under: Salvia miltiorrhiza (redroot sage)
Lineage: Eukaryota; Viridiplantae; Streptophyta; Magnoliopsida; Lamiales; Lamiaceae
Description: long non-coding RNA (SMIL_LNC001913)
Source: RNAcentral